This 251-nucleotide ribosomal RNA is filed under the name uncultured bacterium. RNAcentral describes it as "partial 16S ribosomal RNA". It matches the Rfam family "Bacterial small subunit ribosomal RNA", at positions 524 to 776 of the family's 1533-position model. The record is from RNAcentral.
UACGUAGGGGGCUAGCGUUAUCCGGAAUUACUGGGCGUAAGGGUGCGUAGGUGGUUUCUUAAGUCAGAGGUGAAAGGCUACGGCUCAACCGUAGUAAGCCUUUGAAACUGGGAAACUUGAGUGCAGGAGAGGAGAGUGGAAUUCCUAGUGUAGCGGUGAAAUGCGUAGAUAUUAGGAGGAACACCAGUUGCGAAGGCGGCUCUCUGGACUGUAACUGACACUGAGGCACGAAAGCGUGGGGAGCAAACAGG